GUGAGGAAUUUUCCGCAAUGGGCGAAAGCCUGACGGAGCAAUGCCGCGUGAAGGAUGAAGGCCUAUGGGUUGUAAACUUCUUUUCUCAGAAAAGAAUUAUGACGGUAUCUGAGGAAUAAGCAUCGGCUAACUCUGUGCCAGCAGCCGCGGUAAGACAGAGGAUGCAAGCGUUAUCCGGAAUGAUUGGGCGUAAAGCGUCUGUAGGUUGUUUAAAAAGUAUUCUGUCAAAGAUUAGGGCUUAACCCUAGAUAGGCAGAAUAAACUUUUAAGCUAGAGUUUGAUAGAGGCAGAGGGAAUUCCCGGUGGAGCGGUGAAAUGCGUAGAUAUCGGGAGGAACACCAAAGGCGAAGGCACUCUGCUGGGCCAAUACUAACACUGAGAGACGAAAGCGAGGGGAGCAAAUGGGAUUAGAAACCCGGGUAGUCC
This 426-nucleotide ribosomal RNA is filed under the name uncultured bacterium. Its description in RNAcentral is "bacterial SSU rRNA". It matches the Rfam family "Bacterial small subunit ribosomal RNA", at positions 354 to 796 of the family's 1533-position model. The record is from RNAcentral.